Molecule: ribosomal RNA, 513 nt
Filed under: uncultured bacterium
Lineage: Bacteria
Description: partial 16S ribosomal RNA
Rfam family: Bacterial small subunit ribosomal RNA
Source: RNAcentral
GACGAACGCUGGCGGCAUGCCUAAUACAUGCAAGUCGAGCGAACAGAUGAAGUGCUUGCACUUCUGACGUUAGCGGCGAACGGGUGAGUAACACGUAAGGAAUCUACCUAUAAGCGGGGGAUAACAUUCGGAAACGGGUGCUAAUACCGCAUAAUAUCUUCUUCCGCAUGGAAGAAGAUUGAAAGACGGCUCUGCUGUCACUUAUAGAUGACCUUGCGGUGCAUUAGUUAGUUGGUGGGGUAAUGGCCUACCAAGACGAUGAUGCAUAGCCGACCUGAGAGGAUGAUCGGCCACAUUGGGACUGAGACACGGCCCAAACUCCUACGGGAGGCAGCAGUAGGGAAUCUUCCGCAGUGGGCGAAAGCCUGACGGAGCAAUGCCGCGUGAGUGAAGAAGGCCUUCGGGUCGUAAAACUCUGUCAUAAGAGAAGAACAAAUUGUAGAGUAACUGCUACAGUCUUGACGGUAUCUUAUCAGAAAGCCACGGCUAACUACGUGCCAGCCGCCGCAGUAA